This 1621-nucleotide ribosomal RNA is filed under the name Vibrio parahaemolyticus 901128. RNAcentral's name for it is "bacterial LSU rRNA". It matches the Rfam family "Bacterial large subunit ribosomal RNA", at positions 1344 to 2925 of the family's 2925-position model. The record is from RNAcentral. Lineage: Bacteria; Pseudomonadati; Pseudomonadota; Gammaproteobacteria; Vibrionales; Vibrionaceae.
ACCAAGGGUUCCUGUCCAACGUUAAUCGGGGCAGGGUAAGUCGACCCCUAAGGCGAGGCCGAAAGGCGUAGUCGAUGGGAAACGGGUUAAUAUUCCCGUACUUCUUACAAUUGCGAUGGGGGGACGGAGAAGGCUAGGUGGGCCUGGCGACCCAACAGGUCCAAGUUCACGCAUCCGAAUUCUCAAUCCAUUUAGGCCGAGAAAAUAAGGCUGAGACACGACGUCGAGCCACUACGGUGGUGAAGUCAUUGAUGCCAUGCUUCCAGGAAAAGCCUCUAAGCUUCAGAUUGUAAGGAAUCGUACCCCAAACCGACACAGGUGGUCGGGUAGAGAAUACCAAGGCGCUUGAGAGAACUCGGGUGAAGGAACUAGGCAAAAUGGUACCGUAACUUCGGGAGAAGGUACGCUCUUGAUGGUGAAGUCCCUUGCGGAUGGAGCUGACGAGAGUCGCAGAUACCAGGUGGCUGCAACUGUUUAUUAAAAACACAGCACUGUGCAAAAUCGUAAGAUGACGUAUACGGUGUGACGCCUGCCCGGUGCCGGAAGGUUAAUUGAUGGGGUUAGACUUCGGUCGAAGCUCUUGAUCGAAGCCCCGGUAAACGGCGGCCGUAACUAUAACGGUCCUAAGGUAGCGAAAUUCCUUGUCGGGUAAGUUCCGACCUGCACGAAUGGCGUAAUGAUGGCCACGCUGUCUCCACCCGAGACUCAGUGAAAUUGAAAUCGCUGUGAAGAUGCAGUGUACCCGCGGCUAGACGGAAAGACCCCGUGAACCUUUACUACAGCUUGGCACUGAACAUUGACCCUACAUGUGUAGGAUAGGUGGGAGGCUUUGAAGCACGUACGCCAGUAUGUGUGGAGCCGUCCUUGAAAUACCACCCUUGUAGUGUUGAUGUUCUAACGUCGACCCCUUAUCGGGGUUGCGGACAGUGCCUGGUGGGUAGUUUGACUGGGGCGGUCUCCUCCCAAAGAGUAACGGAGGAGCACGAAGGUGGGCUAAUCACGGUUGGACAUCGUGAGGUUAGUGCAAUGGCAUAAGCCCGCUUGACUGCGAGAAUGACAAUUCGAGCAGGUGCGAAAGCAGGUCAUAGUGAUCCGGUGGUUCUGAAUGGAAGGGCCAUCGCUCAACGGAUAAAAGGUACUCCGGGGAUAACAGGCUGAUACCGCCCAAGAGUUCAUAUCGACGGCGGUGUUUGGCACCUCGAUGUCGGCUCAUCACAUCCUGGGGCUGAAGUCGGUCCCAAGGGUAUGGCUGUUCGCCAUUUAAAGUGGUACGCGAGCUGGGUUUAGAACGUCGUGAGACAGUUCGGUCCCUAUCUGCCGUGGGCGUUGGAAGAUUGAAGGGGGCUGCUCCUAGUACGAGAGGACCGGAGUGGACGAACCUCUGGUGUUCGGGUUGUGUCGCCAGACGCAUUGCCCGGUAGCUAAGUUCGGAAUCGAUAACCGCUGAAAGCAUCUAAGCGGGAAGCGAGCCCUGAGAUGAGUCUUCCCUGAUACUUUAAGUAUCCUAAAGGGUUGUCGGAGACUACGACGUUGAUAGGUCAGGUGUGUAAGUGCUGUGAGGCAUUGAGCUAACUGAUACUAAUUGCCCGUGAGGCUUAACCAUACAACACCCAAGGGGUUU